RNAcentral lists this unclassified non-coding RNA (872 nucleotides) under Leishmania donovani. Its description in RNAcentral is "gene:unknown". Lineage: Eukaryota; Euglenozoa; Kinetoplastea; Trypanosomatida; Trypanosomatidae. The record is from RNAcentral.
UACACCGUCACGCCCCCGUCCUGUUGGAGAGGGUGUCGCUGUGCAAGGAAUCAGUGGAGAGAAAAACCCUAACCCUAACCCUAACCCUAACCCUAACCAGUACACCAGUACACCGUCACGCCCCCGUCCUGUUGGAGAGGGUGUCGCUGUGCAAGGAAUCAGUGGAGAGAAAAACCCUAACCCUAACCCUAACCCUAACCAGUACACCAGUACACCGUCACGCCCCCGUCCUGUUGGAGAGGGUGUCGCUGUGCAAGGAAUCAGUGGAGAGAAAAACCCUAACCCUAACCCUAACCCUAACCCUAACCCUAACCCUAACCCUAACCCUAACCCUAACCCUAACCCUAACCCUAACCCUAACCCUACCCUAACCCUAACCCUAACCCUAACCCUAACCCUAACCCUAACCCUAACCCUAACCCUAACCCUAACCCUAACCCUAACCCUAACCCUAACCCUAACCCUAACCCUAACCCUAACCCUACCCUAACCCUAACCCUAACCCUAACCCUAACCCUAACCCUAACCCUACCCUAACCCUAACCCUAACCCUCACCCUAACCCUAACCCUAACCCUAACCCUAACCCUAACCCUAACCCUAACCCUAACCCUAACCCUAACCCUAACCCUAACCCUACCCUAACCCUAACCCUAACCCUAACCCUAACCCUAACCCUAACCCUAACCAGUACACCAGUACACCGUCACGCCCCCGUCCUGUUGGAGAGGGUGUCGCUGUGCAAGGAAUCAGUGGAGAGAAAAACCCUAACCCUAACCCUAACCCUAACCCUAACCCUAACCCUAACCCUAACCCUAACCCUAACCCUAACCCUAACCAGUACACCAGUACACCAGUACACCAGUACACCAG